UUUAAAAACACUUUCGAAAAUGGAUUCUAACGUUGCCAGCAAAAACCUUUUCAAAACACUUUUUAAAAACUUGAAUUUCCGAAACCAAAUAAUUUAAAACCUGAAAGUUUUAAUAACAGAUUUAAAAGAAACCACUUUAACCCCCUAAAACAGGAUCGCAUCCAGGUUACAGUAUUGAAAUUAGAAUCAACCAACCUCAUCUCUGAUGUAUAACUUAACCACUUAGAAUCCUUGCCGCUUAGCAUCACUCUCAUGCGCAGCCUAAUCAGAUAAUCCAUCUCUAGCCUUAGCUGAAAGGUUUAGAGUUGAAAAGCAAGGAUGAGCUAAAAUGCUCAGCAAGUUUUUGUAGUAAAAUAGUUGUAUGAAGGUAGUUUGCAAGGGUAAGUUAUCAAAUGCUCAGCAGUACCAAUAUGAAUAAACAAGAUAUAUGAUCGUAAAACAGUUUAUAAGAGCAAGAGCAUAGCAAUCAUGCAUGCUUUGAGUAUAAAGCAGUAACCAUCAUUGAUAUAAGAAAACUGGAAAUCAACUUUUAUUAGCAUGCUCAAAAAUGUGAUAAUCAUAAGUUUUAGUUUCAAAAUUUCAUCACUAGCAUGCCAUAACAGGUUUUUAUCUUAAAACGAAUAUCAGAUAUAUUGGACGCUAACAGGUGAAGAUAGCUGAUCAGUCUAUCAACACCGGACGGCUCUAGUCGGCCAUCACGAAAUAAUGUUCCGGAACCUAAAGACUAGCUAGGUCUUUAGACGCUGGACUAGGUGGUUUCACAGUGUACACAACCACACUAGCCUCUUACGCCACCAUGCUGGGCCGUUACCGAAUAACGGACCUCUUACGCAGCUCCAAAAGAAUAUCUGAUCCAUUUCCAGUUUCCAAUUUGAUUUGUAUCCAUCCCAUUUUCAAAAUCAUUACAUGGUAUUCAUGAAUCAAUACCAUGUCUCAAAGAAUUAUAUCACAGGUUUAGCAAUGAUAAUCACUAAACAUUUUCAGAAUUUGAAUCUCAUCCGGGAUAGAUAUUCACAAGUUACUAUUCCCCUAAAACAAUUUAAAAGAUAUUAAAUCCAUAGAAACAGGGGAAUACGUACUUAAAACAUUUAAUAUCUGAAUCAUUUGACAAAGACAUGCAUUCUUGCUCUACAUUAUCCAUAUAUGUAAUCUGAACCAGCAAGAGUAUUGUCAGGGGUACUUGCAAUAUAUCAAGGAAGUUCCAGAGUACUUGCAAUAUAUCUAAAAGAAGGUUUCAAGAUACUUGCAUAAUAGGAUUUGAAGAAAAUUUCACUUGAACAAUAAGUGAAGAUAGGGAUACUUGCACUUUCAAAUAUACAAGAGAGGAAUGUGAAUACUUGCCUUUGGUCCUUAGCUUAUACACUCUUAGCUAACAUUCUUAUCUUAUUCUGCUUUCUCAAGACAUCACCCUCAACUAUUCCUGAUUUUCUGUUAUGGCGCUCAUGCGGUUGCUGCAGCUUGAUACGAAAUCUUAUCUAACUUCAGUCUUGAUCCCCAACGUCUGGUUCUACUCGUCUCGAACAAUCCGUAACUACAGAACCGCUAUACAACUCUCCCCUUUUCUUGCCUUUGCUUGGUAUCACGCCUUCAAUGCUCGAUCCUAUUAUAAGCAAAAAGAUACUACUUUAGUAUCCUUCCGAAACGACUAUCCUAUUUCUACCCUUUCGCGAUAUAUAUAUACACAACACAUUAUAUAGCACAUAACAAGUUGCACACAUUAUAGUUUUAUAACUUAAAACCCACUCAGAAUAUUAUUUAACACGAGAACGCGUCUUAAGUUAAUAUUUCUACGGAAAAUUCGGCAUGACCUAUUCGUAAAUAGGACUAUCCCCCUGUUUUCAAAUCAAUCCAAUCAAGCUCUUUAACCAAAUAAAAUACUAACAUAAAGAAAAUCUGCCUCGACAUGCAGUAAAUCACAUAAGAAAAGUACCCGCCCCGACAUGCGGCACCUAACACAUAAUGAUAAAUAAUCCGCCCAGACAUGCGGCACCUAAACACAUAAUGAUUGAAAGAAACUAACAGCUUACCUUUAAAACAGAAAGUAAUUCAAUAUUAAUACAUUAUACUAUCAAGAAUAACACUCUGACAUUUAACACGUAGCACUUAGCAGGUAUCACAUAUUUCCAUACAUUUACUUACCACUUAUCAUAAUACUCAAUUUAGAUACUAUUCAAAUCAAAUAUAUACAAGUUGAAUUAAAUAAGCAUAGCACUAUAACUAUUUAAGAUAUCGCAUAUUUAUAUUAUUAAUAUUAUUAUUUACUAUUAUUACUACUAGUGCAAGUAAUAAUAAUAAUAAAGAAUAAUACUAAUAUUUAUUAAUAUUCGACAUCCUAAAAUUACCAAGUAAACACAGUUUCACACAUUAAGAUCAAUAAUAAUGCUAUGUAUUACUGCUAUUACUAACAAAUCACAUAAAUAUUAUUUAUAGAUUUUAUAGAAAUAUCACGAAUCAGUAACUAUAUAAAUUCGAUUAAUAGUCCGAUAAUUAUAGGAUACACUCCCGUAUAAUUUAAAAAUCUAAAUUUUAUUUGAAAAUCGGGCAGCACCUCCUCUAUUUGUCGGACUACCAGUCGAUAUCAUAUCGACACCAACAGUCACAAUCAAGCCUGCAAUCAAUCCAAACAACUUACUUUACAACUAAUAAUUAAACUCGAUACUCAAUCAAAUGACCCAACAACCGAAAUAAUAAAUAAAAGCGUAUCGAGAAAUCCAUAUCAAGACUCGAGCCACCCGCAUAAUUUACACAGCCCAGCAAUCAACACACGGCCAACUCGGCCCCACACGAACUCACCCGACACACACACUCGAAUACACAGUAUACACACGCUGCACACACUCUUACACGCACAAAAUACACGCGUAUAUACACGCAACACAGCAGCGAAACAAGGGGGAAAAAACAGGGAAAUCGAGGGAGAGAAACCAGAGCAAGAGAGAGAUG
Molecule: long non-coding RNA, 2943 nt
Filed under: Daucus carota (carrot)
Lineage: Eukaryota; Viridiplantae; Streptophyta; Magnoliopsida; Apiales; Apiaceae
Description: long non-coding RNA (DCAR_LNC007406)
Source: RNAcentral